Molecule: transfer RNA, 70 nt
Filed under: Ovis aries (sheep)
Lineage: Eukaryota; Metazoa; Chordata; Mammalia; Artiodactyla; Bovidae
Rfam family: tRNA
About the family: Transfer RNA (tRNA) molecules are approximately 80 nucleotides in length. Their secondary structure includes four short double-helical elements and three loops (D, anti-codon, and T loops). Further hydrogen bonds mediate the characteristic L-shaped molecular structure. tRNAs have two regions of fundamental functional importance: the anti-codon, which is responsible for specific mRNA codon recognition, and the 3' end, to which the tRNAs corresponding amino acid is attached (by aminoacyl-tRNA synthetases). tRNAs cope with the degeneracy of the genetic code in two manners: having more than one tRNA (with a specific anti-codon) for a particular amino acid; and 'wobble' base-pairing, i.e. permitting non-standard base-pairing at the 3rd anti-codon position.
Source: Rfam by way of RNAcentral
CCCUGGCGGCUUAGCGGUAAAGAACCUGCCUGCUGUGCAGGAGACCCAGGUCCAACCCAUGGGUCAGGGA